GGGAUUGCUAGGCCUGCUGUUCAUCCUCACGAUUCUGUUCAGUAACAUCAGGAACGACAACGUCACGGAGAGAUUCAUCAGCAUCUAAACUGCCUCACCUGGCCCCGACCUUGUAGAAAGCGACACAACGAGAAAUUGACCCAGAAACCACCGAACGAAGAUUUCCCAACCCCCAGCCAGUUGAUGAUAUAGCACACGAUAUGCACACGUUAUUAUCUUGCCUUGCCUCAUGUUUUUAUUUGAAUAAAUAUUGUUUAAAUGUUA
Molecule: long non-coding RNA, 264 nt
Organism: Mya arenaria
Lineage: Eukaryota; Metazoa; Mollusca; Bivalvia; Myida; Myidae
Exons: 2
Source: RefSeq, a predicted model, not a curated record